CAAGGAAUAGUUUAAUUCAGAACUCUGGCUUUGGGAGUCAGCGGUGGGGGUUUAAGUCCCCUUUCUUUGA
Molecule: transfer RNA, 70 nt
Filed under: Chaetodontoplus mesoleucus (vermiculated angelfish)
Lineage: Eukaryota; Metazoa; Chordata; Actinopteri; Pomacanthidae
Description: tRNA-Pro
Rfam family: tRNA
About the family: Transfer RNA (tRNA) molecules are approximately 80 nucleotides in length.
Source: RNAcentral